UGGGGAAUAUUGCGCAAUGGGCGAAAGCCUGACGCAGCAACACCGCGUGAGGGAUGACGGCCUUCGGGUUGUAAACCUCUUUCAGCUCCGACGAAGCGAAAGUGACGGUAGGAGCAGAAGAAGCACCGGCUAACUACGUGCCAGCAGCCGCGGUAAUACGUAGGGUGCAAGCGUUGUCCGGAAUUAUUGGGCGUAAAGAGCUCGUAGGCGGUCCGUUGCGUCUGCCGUGAAAACCCGGAGCUCAACUCCGGGCCUGCGGUGGAUACGGGCGGACUAGAGUCCGGUAGGGGAGACUGGAAUUCCUGGUGUAGCGGUGGAAUGCGCAGAUAUCAGGAGGAACACCGGUGGCGAAGGCGGGUCUCUGGGCCGGAACUGACGCUGAGGAGCGAAAGCGUGGGGAGCGAACAGGAUUAGAUACCCCUGGUAGUCCACGCCGUAAACGGUGGGCGCUAGGUGUGGGAUCGUUUCCACGAUCUCCGUGCCGUAGCUAACGCAUUAAGCGCCCCGCCUGGGGAGUACGGUCGCAAGAC
RNAcentral lists this ribosomal RNA (530 nucleotides) under uncultured bacterium. Its description in RNAcentral is "bacterial SSU rRNA". It matches the Rfam family "Bacterial small subunit ribosomal RNA", at positions 355 to 894 of the family's 1533-position model. The record is from RNAcentral.